CGGAGGAAAAGAAACCAACAGGGAUUGCCCUAGUAACGGCGAGUGAAGCGGCAACAGCUCAAAUUUGAAAUCUGGCCCUASUGGUCCGAAUUGUAAUUUGUAGAGGAUGCUUUUGGUGCGGUGCCUUCCGAGUUCCCUGGAACGGGACGCCGGAGAGGGUGAGAGCCCCSYACGGUUGGACACCUAGCCUCUGUAUAGCUCCUUCAACGAGDCGAGUAGUUUGGGAAUGCUGCUCUAAAUGGGAGGUAAAUUUCUUCUAAAGCUAAAUACCGGCCAGAGACCGAUAGCGCACAAGUAGAGUGAUCGAAAGAUGAAAAGCACUUUGAAAAGAGGGUUAAAUAGCACGUGAAAUUGUUGAAAGGGAAGCGUUUGCGACCAGACCUUUUCCGGGCGGAUCAUCCGGCGUUCUCGCCGGUGCACUUCGUCCGGUYUAGGCCAGCAUCGGUUUCCUUAGGGGGAUAAAGGCUUGGGGAAYGUAGCUCUUUAGGGAGUGUUAUAGCCCCUUGCGUAAUACCCUUCGGGGGACCGAGGACCGCGCUCUGCAAGGAUGCUGGCGUAAUGGUCGUCAACGACCCGUCUUGAAACACGGACCAAGGAGUCGAACAUUUGUGCGAGUGUUUGGGUGUUAAACCCUCACGCGUAAUGAAAGUGAACGGAGGUGAGAGCCCUUACGGGUGCAUCAUCGACCGAUCCUGAUGUCUUCGGAUGGAUUUGAGUAAGAGCAUAACUGUUCGGACCCGAAAGAUGGUGAACUAUGCGUGGAUAGGGUGAAGCCAGAGGAAACUCUGGUGGAGGCUCGCAGCGGUUCUGACGUGCAAAUCGAUCGUCAAAUCUGCGCAUGGGGGCGAAAGACUUAUCGAACCAUCUAGUAGCUGGUUACCGCCGAAGUUUCCCUCAGAUAGCAGUGUUGUCUUCAGUUUUAUGAGGUAAGCGAAUGAUUAGGGAC
This 946-nucleotide ribosomal RNA is filed under the name Hypoxylon pulicicidum. Its description in RNAcentral is "partial large subunit ribosomal RNA". The record is from RNAcentral. Lineage: Eukaryota; Fungi; Ascomycota; Sordariomycetes; Xylariales; Hypoxylaceae.